UACGUAUGGGGCAAGCGUUAUCCGGAAUUAUUGGGCGUAAAGAGUGCGUAGGUGGUUACCUAAGCGCAAGGUUUAAUCUUGAGGCUCAACCUCAUUCUGCCUUGCGAACUGGGCUACUUGAGUGCAGGAGGGGAAAGCGGAAUUCCUAGUGUAGCGGUGAAAUGCGUAGAUAUUAGGAGGAACACCAGUGGCGAAGGCGGCUUUCUGGACGAUAACUGACGCUGAGGCGCGAAAGCGUGGGGAGCAAACAGGAUUAGAUACCCGGGUAGUCCCUGA
RNAcentral lists this ribosomal RNA (276 nucleotides) under uncultured prokaryote. RNAcentral's name for it is "partial 16S ribosomal RNA". It matches the Rfam family "Bacterial small subunit ribosomal RNA", at positions 524 to 800 of the family's 1533-position model. The record is from RNAcentral.